This 466-nucleotide ribosomal RNA is filed under the name uncultured bacterium. RNAcentral describes it as "partial 16S ribosomal RNA". It matches the Rfam family "Bacterial small subunit ribosomal RNA", at positions 28 to 507 of the family's 1533-position model. The record is from RNAcentral.
GACGAACGCUGGCGGCGUGCUUAACACAUGCAAGUCGAACGGAAAGGCCCUGCUUGCAGGGUACUCGAGUGGCGAACGGGUGAGUAACACGUGGGUGAUCUGCCCUGCACUUCGGGAUAAGCUUGGGAAACUGGGUCUAAUACCGGAUAGGAUCCAUCUUUAGUGUGGUGGUUGGAAAGUUUUUUCGGUGUAGGAUGAGCUCGCGGCCUAUCAGCUUGUUGGUGGGGUAAUGGCCUACCAAGGCGGCGACGGGUAGCCGGCCUGAGAGGGUGUACGGCCACAUUGGGACUGAGAUACGGCCCAGACUCCUACGGGAGGCAGCAGUGGGGAAUAUUGCACAAUGGGCGCAAGCCUGAUGCAGCGACGCCGCGUGGGGGAUGAAGGCCUUCGGGUUGUAAACUCCUUUCGCUAGGGACGAAGCUUUGUUGUGACGGUACCUAGAUAAGAAGCACCGGCUAACUACGUG